Molecule: ribosomal RNA, 560 nt
Filed under: Phascolosoma esculenta
Lineage: Eukaryota; Metazoa; Annelida; Sipuncula; Phascolosomatiformes; Phascolosomatidae
Description: partial 16S ribosomal RNA
Rfam family: Bacterial large subunit ribosomal RNA
Source: RNAcentral
AAUUCCCGAUUUUGGAGGCAUUGCCUGCCAGUGACAACUGUUUAACGGCCGCGGUAUCCUGACCGUGCAAAGGUAGCAUAAUCAUUUGUUCUCUAAAUAAGGACUUGUAUGAAUGGCCGCACGAGGGUUUUACUGUCUCUUACUUCCAAUCAGUGAAAUUGACCUUCCCGUGAAGAGGCGGGAAUGCACAAAUAAGACGAGAAGACCCUAUGGAGCUUUAACUAACCAACCCAAAGAGAAUAGAUUUAACCAUUAAGGAAUAACAACAAUCUCCAUGAGUUGGUAGUUUCGGUUGGGGUGACCUCGGAGAAUAAAAAAUCCUCCGAGCGAUUUUAAAGACUAGACCCACAAGUCAAAUCACUCUAUCGCUCAUUGAUCCAAAAACUUGAUCAACGGAACAAGUUACCCUAGGGAUAACAGCGCAAUCCUAUUCAAGAGUCCAUAUCGACAAUAGGGUUUACGACCUCGAUGUUGGAUCAGGACAUCCUGAUGGUGCAACCGCUAUCAAAGGUUCGUUUGUUCAACGAUUAAAGUCCUACGUGAUCUGAGUUCAGACCGGA